GAUGAACGCUGGCGGCGUGCCUAAUACAUGCAAGUCGAGCGAACAGACGAGGACUUUGCUCCUCUGACGUUAGCGGGGGACGGGUGAUUAACACGGGGAUAACCUACCUAAAAGACUGGGAUAACUUCGGGAAACCGGGGCUAAUACCGGAAAAUAUAUUGACCCGCAUGGUUCAAUAGUAAAAGACGGUUUUGCUUUCACUUUUAGAUGGAUCCGCGCCCCAUUAGUUAGUUGGUAAGGUAACGGCUUACCAAGGAAACGAUGCGUAGCCGACCUGAGAGGGUCGCCGCCCAGCUGGGAACGGAGGCAGGGCCGACACUCCUGGGGGGGGAAACAGACGGGAAUCUUCCGGAAAGGGGAAGGGCGGAAUGGAGCAACGCGGGGGGAGGAAUGAGGGUUUUAGGAUCGAAAAGCUAUGUAAUUAGGAAGGAAAAAAAGUUUAUUUACCCGGGAGGGUCUUGACGGUACCGAAUGAAAAAGCCACGGCUAACUCCGUG
Molecule: ribosomal RNA, 497 nt
Filed under: uncultured bacterium
Lineage: Bacteria
Description: partial 16S ribosomal RNA
Rfam family: Bacterial small subunit ribosomal RNA
Source: RNAcentral